RNAcentral lists this ribosomal RNA (604 nucleotides) under Troglocharinus ferreri ferreri. RNAcentral describes it as "SSU rRNA". It matches the Rfam family "Eukaryotic small subunit ribosomal RNA", at positions 22 to 602 of the family's 1831-position model. Lineage: Eukaryota; Metazoa; Arthropoda; Insecta; Coleoptera; Leiodidae. The record is from RNAcentral.
AGUCAUAUGCUUGUCUCAAAGAUUAAGCCAUGCAUGUCUCAGUACAAGCCAAAUUAAGGUGAAACCGCGAAAGGCUCAUUAAAUCAGUUAUGGUUCCUUAGAUCGUACCCACAUUUACUUGGAUAACUGUGGUAAUUCUAGAGCUAAUACAUGCCAACAGAACUCCGACCGGAGACGGAAGGAGUGCCUUUAUUAGAUCAAAACCAAUCGGUGGGGCGGCCUCGGUCGUGUCAUCGUACAACAUGGUGAAUCUGAAUAACGUUUGCUGAUCGCACGGUCUCGCACCGGCGACGCAUCUUUCAAAUGUCUGCCUUAUCAACUGUCGAUGGUAGGUUCUGCGCCUACCAUGGUUGUAACGGGUAACGGGGAAUCAGGGUUCGAUUCCGGAGAGGGAGCCUGAGAAACGGCUACCACAUCCAAGGAAGGCAGCAGGCGCGCAAAUUACCCACUCCCGGCACGGGGAGGUAGUGACGAAAAAUAACGAUACGGGACUCAUCCGAGGCCCCGUAAUCGGAAUGAGCACACUUUAAAUCCUUUCACGAGGAUCAAUCGGAGGGCAAGUCAGGUGCCAGCAGCCGCGGUAAUUCCUGCUCCGAUAGCGUAU